AAGGCUUUAGGUUAAAUUAAACCUUUAGCCUUCAAAGUUAACAAUAAAUUUAUUUUAAGCCUUA
RNAcentral lists this transfer RNA (64 nucleotides) under Ectopsocopsis cryptomeriae. RNAcentral's name for it is "tRNA-Trp". Lineage: Eukaryota; Metazoa; Arthropoda; Insecta; Psocodea; Ectopsocidae. The record is from RNAcentral.